This 585-nucleotide long non-coding RNA is filed under the name Pan troglodytes (chimpanzee). RNAcentral's name for it is "lincRNA". The record is from RNAcentral. Lineage: Eukaryota; Metazoa; Chordata; Mammalia; Primates; Hominidae.
UAAUUCCUGCCAAAAUCAUCACAAGUUGUACGUCAUCAAGGCUGUCUUUGCACUCCCAGGAAGAAUUGUUAAUUUUAAAUAAAAGUGAUGAGAAUUCCUCCGGAGGUGGGAACAGAGAAAACUUCAUGCUUGGUAAAGCACCUGAGGCACCCAUUACAAUCUGGGACAAGAUGAGAACAUCAAUACUCACGCUGUAUUCCACAUGGGAGGUCCAAGUCAACGCAAGAUGAUUUUUAAGAGAUAUAAGAGCCAGGCAUGGUAGCUGAUACCUGUAAUCCCAGCACUUUGGGAGGCUGAGGUGGGAGGCUCACUUGAGUCCAGGAGAUCAAGACCAGCCUAGGCAACAAAGCAAGACCAAGACCCCUUCUCUACAAAAAAAUAAGAAAAUUAGCCUGGUGGGUGGUGCACACCUGUGGUUCCAGCUACGCUAGAAGCUGAAGGGGGAGGUUCACUUGAGCCCCAAGAUUGAGGCUGCAGUGAGCCACAAUAGCACCACCGCACUACAGCCUGGGUGACAGAGCAAGAGCCUGUCUCCAAAAAAAUAAAUAAAUAAAUAAAAGCUAUAAAUACUGCAAAGAGGCAAAA